Molecule: transfer-messenger RNA, 354 nt
Filed under: marine eukaryotic metagenome
Rfam family: transfer-messenger RNA
About the family: Bacterial tmRNA, also known as 10Sa RNA or SsrA, is named for its dual tRNA and mRNA-like properties. Its role is to liberate the mRNA from a stalled ribosome. To accomplish this part of the tmRNA is used as a reading frame that ends in a translation stop signal.
Source: RNAcentral
GGGGGCGCCUGGUUUCGACGGGUAUACUAGAGCUUUUAACUGCAUGUCGAGGAUUCUUGGUUACCUCGUAAAUCAACCAGGAAAAAUGAUAAGUGCCGAUUACGGUUACGUUGCUGCUGCUUAAUUGACAGCAGCUGUCUAUUAGCAAGCGUGUUCGCCGCCAACUAAAUAGACAUCAUUAAAGCGAACUAGUUCUAUAAAGAGUCUGAGUUUGUAGAACAAAAUUUUAUCAGACUCGUUUGUUGUGCGUAAGGUCAUUUAUGCUAUGCAAAUUAAAUUAAAUAAUGACCUAAGCAUGUAGAUGUUGACUGAACUUUAUAUUCGGACGUGGGUUCGAUUCCCACCGCCUCCACA